CAACGGAGGAAGGUGGGGAUGACGUCAAGUCAUCAUGGCCCUUACGGCCUGGGCUACACACGUGCUACAAUGGUCGGUACAAAGGGUUGCCAAGCCGCGAGGUGGAGCUAAUCCCAUAAAACCGAUCGUAGUCCGGAUCGCAGUCUGCAACUCGACUGCGUGAAGUCGGAAUCGCUAGUAAUCGUGAAUCAGAAUGUCACGGUGAAUACGUUCCCGGGCCUU
This 222-nucleotide ribosomal RNA is filed under the name uncultured Pseudomonas sp. RNAcentral's name for it is "partial 16S ribosomal RNA". It matches the Rfam family "Bacterial small subunit ribosomal RNA", at positions 1161 to 1382 of the family's 1533-position model. The record is from RNAcentral. Lineage: Bacteria; Pseudomonadati; Pseudomonadota; Gammaproteobacteria; Pseudomonadales; Pseudomonadaceae.